RNAcentral lists this long non-coding RNA (282 nucleotides) under Gossypium barbadense (sea-island cotton). RNAcentral describes it as "long non-coding RNA (GBAR_LNC022074)". The record is from RNAcentral. Lineage: Eukaryota; Viridiplantae; Streptophyta; Magnoliopsida; Malvales; Malvaceae.
GAACUGAACAAACAAUUAUCAUGUGAUAGAUAAAGCUUCAAAUACUGGAGAGUUUGCAGUUUUUAUAUUAUUACAUCACUAACAUGAAUGCGAGAGCAAAUAAAUACAGAGAGCAACAUAUGAAGAAACAAACCUUCAUUUCACACUUCAUAGUGGCAUUUUCUGAAACACAACAUAUAAAAACCAAAAUCAUUUUCACCAGCCAUGACUGCCAAUAGGCAACCUCCAAUCUUCUCCACCGUGGCCACCAGCGGUAUCCGGGCUACAUCCACCUAGACGUCU